UACGUAGGGUCCGAGCGUUGUCCGGAAUUAUUGGGCGUAAAGGGCUCGUAGGCGGUUAGUCGCGUCGGGAGUGAAAACUCAGGGCUCAACCCUGAGCGUGCUUCCGAUACGGGCUGACUAGAGGUAUGCAGGGGAGAACGGAAUUCCUGGUGUAGCGGUGGAAUGCGCAGAUAUCAGGAGGAACACCAGUGGCGAAGGCGGUGCUCUGGGCCGGAACUGACGCUGAGGAGCGAAAGCGUGGGGAGCAAACAGG
RNAcentral lists this ribosomal RNA (253 nucleotides) under uncultured bacterium. RNAcentral's name for it is "partial 16S ribosomal RNA". It matches the Rfam family "Bacterial small subunit ribosomal RNA", at positions 524 to 776 of the family's 1533-position model. The record is from RNAcentral.